GCCUUCUUAGCUCAGUGGUAGAGCGUGUCACUCGUAUGUCAUGACAAGGUCAGUCGUUCAAGUCGGCUAGGAGGCA
Molecule: non-coding RNA, 76 nt
Organism: Armillaria novae-zelandiae
Lineage: Eukaryota; Fungi; Basidiomycota; Agaricomycetes; Agaricales; Physalacriaceae
Source: the annotation of a GenBank genome assembly